RNAcentral lists this unclassified non-coding RNA (3795 nucleotides) under Stegodyphus dumicola. RNAcentral describes it as "beta-1,3-galactosyltransferase brn-like, transcript variant X4". The record is from RNAcentral. Lineage: Eukaryota; Metazoa; Arthropoda; Arachnida; Araneae; Eresidae.
GAGUCGCGUUGCGUAUGACUUCAAUCAUAUUUUGUACAUAUAGUGUAGUGGUAUUGAGAGAGGACUGCAGAACAAUGAGGCAAGGUCACAGAACAAUAAAACAUUGAAAUUGCUCAAGUGUUGAGAACAUUUUAAACAAUUAAACACAAUGAAUUUUAGGUAUUCUAUUGUUUGAUUCGGGAGACAUAUUACAGAAAGAUGCAUAUACUACCAUCUUAUUUUGGGCGAUUUAUUUACAUGAAGAGUAAAAUAAAAUAUUUAAUUCUUGCAUGUAUAAUAAUCUUUGUGGUUGACUACUUUGGAUUACUCCUGCAUCUUCUUGAAAUUGAUUAUAGUAGGUUCACAUAUCCAUUAGAUAUUUCUAUGGAGGAAACAUUAGCAGAAAUAAGAAGAAAUAACAAAUUUUUGUAUCAUCCUAUUAAUGAGUAUAAUUAUAACUAUAAAAUAAAGAAUGAGCAAAAGUGUUUACAAUUGAAACAUGAUAAAUAUGAUGAUGUGCUUAUAUUAUAUAUUAUUAAAUCAGCUUUACUUAACCAGAGGCGAAGAGAUGGAAUUCGCAAAACAUGGGGCUGGGAAAACAGAUUUUCUGAUGUUACCAUUCGCAGAAUAUUUAUGCUUGGUGUGUCUGAGGAUAAAGUUAUUCAAGAUGAAAUUGAUGAAGAGUAUGUAAGGUUUAAAGAUAUUCAGGCUGAUUUUCUUGAUACAUAUUACAACAAUACAAUAAAAACGAUGCUAGCAUUCAAAUGGGUCAUUCAUAAUUGCCCUAGAGCGCAGUUUAUUGUAUUUGCUGAUGAUGAUAUGUAUAUUUCAACAAAAAAUUUGCUGAAAUUCAUACGUAAUCCUUUUAAUAAGCGUGUAGGCUUCAGGCGUAGGCGUAAUGUGUUGGAUAAAUUUCUUCAAAAUAUGACACAGUCUGAUAGGCUGAUAACUCUUGACUUACUUCAUAGAAGUCGUAAUAUAAAUAAAAAUUUUACUUUUCGAAAAAUGUUUGAACUUGAUCCUGUAUUAAGUGCAUUUGAUGGAAGGCUUUUUGCUGGAUAUGUGUUUUCAUCAUCACCUAUGAGACAUAAAUCAAGCAAAUGGUUUGUAACAUUAGCAGAAUAUCCAUAUUCAAAGUACCCUCCAUAUGUGACAGCUGGCACGUAUGUAUUAUCUUAUCCUGCAUUAGAAGAUAUGUAUUAUACUAGUCUUUUUACAAAGCACUUCAAGUUUGAUGAUGUUUACCUUGGCAUAAUAGCAAAGAAAUGCAAUAUAGUUCCUCUUCAUAAUGAGCAUUUUUAUUUUUGGAGAAAACCAUACAGUAAAAAUGCAUAUGCAAAUGUAGUAGCAUCACAUGGAUUUUCAGACCCAGAAGAACUGAAACAGAUUUGGGAAGAACAGAGAAGUUUAGGUCAUGCUUGAAUGUUUAAUUAACAUCUUUCAAUGCUCGUAUAUUUCGUAAAAUAUUUAUCAUGUUAAAGAAGUAAUAAAUGCAUCAUAGUUUUAAAAUUAAGCAUGUUCCUAAACUAGAGGAGAGAGCCUUCUAAAAGCAGCUUUUUGGUCUUUCAUCUUUAUUGAUGAUGAUUGUGGUAUCUUAUUUUAUGAUAGGCUGAGGGAGUUUUUCCCAUCAUUUUCUGAAAUUUUUUACCGACUUAUGAUAAACGUUGACAGUUUGGGAAUCUUUCUAAGAAAAAGGCUCGAAAAUCUCCAACUUGCAUCUGAUAAGUAACUUUUACCUUUUCUUCUGUAAAAAAUAACAUAAUGCACUUAUGUAGUUGUAUGAAUAGGUAAGUACCAAACAUUUUUGUAAUUCAAAGUAUAUAACUAGAGUCAACAGUUACGAAAAUUAAGGCUGGGUAAGGACAUUUGUAGAUGCAGUGUAUGUCCUUGAAUAUUACAUAACUUUAUAAUCUAUCAAUGUUUUAUGCAUUACAUAAAGCCAUUAUAUUAGUACUUUAAUAGCCAUAAUAUUGUAUGGAUUUGUGAUAACCUGAGUUGGUUAGGGAUUUUGCAAAGGAAGUAUCUUAACUUUUAUGAAAUGUUAUGUUUUCCUGUAUUGAAUCAUGUACCCUUCAUUCAUUCUGUAAAAUUAUGAUAAGAGAGCAUUAGAAUUAUGAAAGUAAAUAUAAUAAUUGUGGAAUUAUGAAUGAAUCACAAAGUAACAGCUUUGGAUACUGCUUAUCUUUUCAUCUCUGUAAAAUAAAACUAUUUUAAAAUACAUUAAUUUAUUUAAGGAAUUUGUUCAUUAGUUCUAUCUGGUGUUAUGUGCUUAUAUUUUUAUACUACAUGAUGCAAAUUAUCUGGACACCCCUAGGAAGUAAGAGAUUUAACCAUUGACAUGGCACUGUAUGCUCAAGUAGAUAUAAAAAGAGGUAGUAAUGUUCAGACACAUCAUAGCAAAUUUUAAAACCCGAUAUGGGUGAGAAACAUAGCUUCAGAGAGUUGAAAUAAUCAGCUGCUUUUGUUAUGGAAAAUGCGUUUGUGAAAUUUUGAUAGUGUUAAAGAUGACAUAUUCAGCUUUGCAUGCUCUUACUACAAAUUAAAAAGCUUCAGAAGUUACAUCUGUUCAAUCAAGACAAAGUCAAACACAUAGUUUGACUGAUAAAAGCCUUAGCUUUGUAGAGAAGUGAAAUAAAACUGCAUGGAAUCAGCUAAAGACAUUCUACAAAUGCUGAUGGUUGUAAUAUCAAUAAAAUGGCAAUUCCUAGAAAGCUACAGAAUUGAAGCUUUCAUAAGAGAAUAGCUGCACAUAAACAGUGCAGCUAAUGGCAGGUAUCAUAUAGCUUGGUGUAUAGCUGGAUUAACUAUUAAACAAAAUAAGCAUAUGCUUAGGGUGUCAAGAGAAAGAGGGCACAGCAGAAAUUUCUCAUUGUUAUUUUAUUAGGAAAUAUAUGAUGUAAAACAGUUAAUACUGCAGCUAAACUGAGAGGGGAAUAAUAUUUUCGAAGUAAUUCUUUCACUUUCUCCCAAAUUUGUAUUAAUUAGCAAAGAUUGGGUAAAAAGCUUAUGGUAGUACUUUUAGGAAAUUAGGAAGGACUUUAUCCUUUGAAAAAACGGUGAAGUUGUUCCUCUUAGUUUGACUUUCAAAAGUUAAAACUUUUAUGAUUUUGAUCCACAUGCAGUAUUUUCUGUUUUUUGCUAGUCAAUAAGUUGUCAGGUAUAGCUGUUAGAACAAUGUUUCUCCGACCUGUUUUGUCCCAUGCACCGCUUUCACUAUUGCUGGAAGAUCAUCCUUUCUAAAGCUCAAAAAAUACAUUUAUUUAGAUUUAGAUUAUUUUCUAAUGCCUUUUAUAAAUUAAAUAGAAAAAAGAAUAGAAAAUGUUGAUAAAUACCAAAACUUGAAGUAGUUUUUUUUAUAUUCAUAAACUAAAAAUAAAUACUUACAGCUGAAUUAAAAGGCUGAAUAUAUUCCGCCCCAGUUGAAAAAUUGUCUUAGAACUUGAAAGUAGAACAACAAAGAAGUGAACAACCUUCAGUUUUGAACUGGAAGAAAUAACAACUAAGAAACUGUUGUUGAUUGUAAUAUUUAUUUAUUUAUUCAUUAUUUAGUUGCAAUACUUUUAAAUGACAUAAGAAAUGGCACUAUGCUUGGAUUUGUACUUUUGUGUGGUAAACCAUUUCAUUUAAGCUAUUAAAGGCAGCAAAAAUGCUUUAAAAAUAAUUUUUGAAUUGUAAAAUGAUGAAUUUAAAUGUUAGUGCAUCUAAUGAAAGAAUUUUGUGUCGCCGUUAAUCUAGUAUUUUAGAUUAUUUCAGUUUUUAAAUAAUAAUGAAACAAUAAUGAUUACUGGUAUACAAUAAAAGUUUAGGCUCAAGAAG